GAUGAACGCUGGCGGCGUGCUUAACACAUGCAAGUCGAACGGUGAAGCCAAGCUUGCUUGGUGGAUCAGUGGCGAACGGGUGAGUAACACGUGAGCAAUCUGCCCUUGACUCUGGGAUAAGCGCUGGAAGCGGCGUCUAAUACUGGAUAUGAGCUGUGGCCGCAUGGUCGGCAGUUGGAAAGAAUUUCGGUCAAGGAUGAGCUCGCGGCGUAUCAGCUUGUUGGUGAGGUAAUGGCUCACCAAGGCGACGACGGGUAGCCGGCCUGAAAGGGUGACCGGCCACAAUGGCACUGAGACACGGGCGAUACUCCUACGGGAGGCAGCAGUGAGGAAUUUUGGACAAUGGGGGAAACCCUGAUCCAGCGACGCCGCGUGAAGGAUGAAGGUCUUCGGAUUGUAAACUUCUUUUGGUGGGGAAGAAUUGCCCGUAAGGGAGUUGACUGUACCCACAGAAAAAGCCACGGCUAACUACGUGCCAGCCGCCGCGGUAA
RNAcentral lists this ribosomal RNA (491 nucleotides) under uncultured bacterium. Its description in RNAcentral is "partial 16S ribosomal RNA". It matches the Rfam family "Bacterial small subunit ribosomal RNA", at positions 28 to 523 of the family's 1533-position model. The record is from RNAcentral.